UUAUAAUUUAGAUAGAUUUUCAUUUAUUUAUUUUGGUUAAGAUAUGUUAAAUAAAAUUGUGGAAAAUUAAAAAAUGAUACUCCCUCCGUUCCUAAAAGAUCCAUGUUUUAAAAUUUUCACAUUUUUUAAUAAAAUAUAUUAAAAUUUAGCUAUAAAUGCAUAGUUUUUUGUAAUUUUAUAUCCUAUAUAUUUAAACCAAUAAGAUUUUAAGAAAUGAAAUUAAUGUUCUUGAACUUCACAAUUUAUCAUUAUUAGUUUACAAAAAUUACAUUGAAAUAUAAAGUAUGUAUCUUUUUUAUACAAAAAAUUUCUCUAGAAUUUAAAUCUUUUAGAAACGGAUGGAGUAUAAAAUUGUAUAAUUAUCAAAAAUAAAAUUAAACAGAACUCAUAUAUUAAAGUGAUUGGGGAGUUUUUUCCUUUUCCUUUUCUUUCUAUUUAGAUUUUGUUUUAAUUAGAUUUUGAUUUAAUUUGUUUUUUGUUUUCUUUCUUUUUUGUCAAAAUUCGUUUUAUUUUUUAACUGAUAUUUAAAAGUGAGUUUUAAAUGUUUUUAAUUGAUAAAGUAAGGAUUAGAUUGGGGAUUUUAGCAAAUAUUAUACUAAAAGGACUAAUUUAGGUUGUUUUUAUACUAAGGGGACAAAAAUGUUUUUUUAUUCAAUUUUGGAAAAAUUUCCAAUAAUAAAUAGGGGAUUUUAUCAGAGAUGUCAAUUGUUCAUGAACAUUUUUGCUUACAUAUAAUUCCAAUUGAGGUAACAACAUUUGUUUUUAUUCCAACUUUCUUUAUUUUGAUGACCCCUAAAUUA
This 800-nucleotide long non-coding RNA is filed under the name Brassica rapa (field mustard). RNAcentral's name for it is "long non-coding RNA (BRAP_LNC007737)". The record is from RNAcentral. Lineage: Eukaryota; Viridiplantae; Streptophyta; Magnoliopsida; Brassicales; Brassicaceae.